RNAcentral lists this ribosomal RNA (459 nucleotides) under uncultured bacterium. Its description in RNAcentral is "partial 16S ribosomal RNA". It matches the Rfam family "Bacterial small subunit ribosomal RNA", at positions 338 to 795 of the family's 1533-position model. The record is from RNAcentral.
CCUACGGGUGGCAGCAGUGAGGAAUAUUGGUCAAUGGCCGGAAGGCUGAACCAGCCAAGCCGCGUGAGGGAUGAAGGCGCAGAGCGUCGUAGACCUCUUUUGCCGGGGGACAAAAGCCCGGACUCGUCCGCUCCUGCGUGUACCCGAAGACAAAGCAUCGGCUAACUCCGUGCCAGCAGCCGCGGUAAUACGGAGGAUGCGAGCGUUAUCCGGAUUUCUUGGGUUUAAAGGGUGCGCAGGCGGUCCGUUAAGCUAGCGGUGAAAUCGCGGGGCUCAACCCCGCCGCGCCGUCGGAACUGGGGGCCGUGAGUGGGGCGGAGGCAUGCGGAAUGCGCGGUGUAGCGGUGAAAUGCAUAGAUAUCGCGCAGAACCCCGAUUGCGAAGGCAGCGUGCCGGGCCGCCACUGACGCUGAGGCACGAAAGCGCGGGGAUCGAACAGGAUUAGAUACCCCUGUAGUC